Non-coding RNA from Cinara cedri, 275 nucleotides. The record is from the annotation of a GenBank genome assembly. Lineage: Eukaryota; Metazoa; Arthropoda; Insecta; Hemiptera; Aphididae.
CGUUUUCAUGUCGACCGAGUCGAUAUUACAUAUUUUACGAUAUCGCGUUUAUAAUCCGUUCCGGAACUUGAAUUCCUACAUUAUUUGUCUGGCGGCUUUUCUCAGACGUCAUAUUCGUCCGGAAAACCGGCUGUACCUGCAGUGGAAAAGUCAUUUCGUUCGAAUUCCAUGUGAUCGCAGACAAUUCGGUAAACCGUCUGCAUUAAUCCGCCCCCUUAAGUGCGCGGCGGGGCGAUUAAUGUACGUUCGCACUAGAAUUAUUCAAUUCAAAUAUU